This 274-nucleotide long non-coding RNA is filed under the name Elaeis guineensis (African oil palm). RNAcentral describes it as "long non-coding RNA (EGUI_LNC056159)". Lineage: Eukaryota; Viridiplantae; Streptophyta; Magnoliopsida; Arecales; Arecaceae. The record is from RNAcentral.
CUGAGCUAUUUAUAAAGUAGGGGUCUUUAGUUUGGACCUGAGUUCGAAGCUAUUAUGUCCAAAGUUGGUCCGAAGUUGCAACAUCCAAAGUCAAUUUGAAGUCACAAUGUCCAUAGUUGCGGCAUCCGAAGUGGAUUCAUGGCAAUGAUUUUGCUAAUUUACUAUUGUCGUCUUAACCCAAUCUCAAUGGGGUGCUUGAGAAGAUUCAAGGUGAGGCUCUUCAUGCAAAGUUGAUAUCGAAGUCAAUCAAUGGCAAUACUUUGCCAAGUUAUUG